AUUGAACGCUGGCGGCAUGCUUUACACAUGCAAGUCGAACGGUAACAGGCCGCAAGGUGCUGACGAGUGGCGAACGGGUGAGUAAUGCAUCGGAACGUGCCCAGUCGUGGGGGAUAACUGCACGAAAGAGCAGCUAAUACCGCAUACGAUCUAUGGAUGAAAGCGGGGGACCGUAAGGCCUCGCGCGAUUGGAGCGGCCGAUGUCAGAUUAGGUAGUUGGUGGGGUAAAGGCUCACCAAGCCAACGAUAUGUAGCUGGUCUGAGAGGACGACCAGCCACACUGGGACGGAGACACGGCGCAGAGUCCUACGGGAGGGAGCAGUGGGGAAUUUUGGACAAUGGGGGCAACCCAGAUCCAGCAAAGCCGCGUGCAGGAAGAAGGCCUUCGGGUUGUAAGCUGCUUUUGUACGGAACGAAACGGUCUGGGUUAAUACCCUGGGCUAAUGACGGUACCGUAAGAAUAAGCACCGGCUAACUACGUGCCAGCCGCCGCCGUAA
RNAcentral lists this ribosomal RNA (498 nucleotides) under uncultured bacterium. RNAcentral's name for it is "partial 16S ribosomal RNA". It matches the Rfam family "Bacterial small subunit ribosomal RNA", at positions 29 to 523 of the family's 1533-position model. The record is from RNAcentral.